RNA transcript from Sapajus apella (tufted capuchin), 995 nucleotides. It is a transcript of the gene named charged multivesicular body protein 5 pseudogene, with no coding region annotated. Lineage: Eukaryota; Metazoa; Chordata; Mammalia; Primates; Cebidae. The transcript has a single exon. The record is from RefSeq and is a predicted model, not a curated record.
AUGAACCGAUUCUUUGGGAAAGUGAAACCCAAGUCUCCGCCACCCAGCCUGACUGCAUUGGCGUGGUGAACAGCAGGGCAGAGUCCAUUGACAAGAAGAUUUCUCGAUUGGAUGCUGAGCUAGUGAAGCAUAAGGAUCAGAUCAAGAAGAUGAGAGAGGAUCCUGCAAAGAAUAUGGUCAAGCAGAAAGCCUUGCAAAUUUUAAAGCAAAAGCAGAUGUAUGAGCAGCAGCGGGACAAUCUCAUCCUACAGUCAUUCAACAUGGAACAAGCCAAUUAUACCAUCCAGUCAUGGAAGGACACCAAGACCAUGGUUGAUGCUAUGAAGCUGGAAGUAAAGGAAAUGAAGAAGACAUACAAGCAAGUGAGAAUCGACCAGUCUGAGGAUUUACAAAGACAUACAAGCAAGUGAAAAUCGACAGUCUGAGGAUUACAACUAGAGGAUAUGAUGGAAGAUGCAAAUGAAAUCCAAGGAGCACUGAGUCGCAGUUACGGCACCCCAGAACUGGAUGAAGACGACCUAGAAGCAGAGUUGGAUGCACUGGGUGAUGAGCUUCUGGCUGAUGAAGGCAGUUCUUAUUUGGAUGAGGCAGCAUCAGCACCUGUGUUCCCACCAACAGCAUAAAACAGGAUGGAGUUCUGGUGGAUGAAUUUGAAUUGCUGCAGAUCCCUGCUUCAUAGAUUUGCAUCAUUGAAGGAUAUCUUGCAAAACGAACACUUACUAUGGGACUAGGAAAUAUUUAUCUUUCCAAAUUUACCAAAACAGAUUACGUUUCUUUCCUUUCUUUGAAGGAAAGUUUAAUUACACUGCUCUUUUUUUUUUUUUUUUCCUGUUAAGAGACUCAUUGCUUGGGAAAUGCUUUCUUUGUACUAAAAUUUGAUUUCUUUUUUUCUUAUGAAAAACGAACUUAGUUUAAAAGUUCCUUUGGCUUGUAUGACUUGUUUUCAUUCGUUGACAAUAAUUCGAAAUAAAACUAAGGAAAUGGAAUCUUAAAAA